CCCCGCGCCGCCCGGCCCCCUUCACAGAGUUCAUCACUCCUAGCGGAAGCGCCGCCAGCAUGUCUGAUAAACUGCCCUACAAAGUCGCGGACAUCGGACUGGCUGCCUGGGGACGGAAGGCCCUGGACAUAGCUGAGAAUGAGAUGCCAGGCUUGAUGCGCAUGCGGGAGAUGUACUCAGCCUCCAAGCCACUGAAGGGUGCUCGCAUUGCUGGCUGCCUGCACAUGACUGUGGAGACUGCUGUCCUCAUCGAGACUCUUGUGGCCCUGGGUGCUGAGGUGCGGUGGUCCAGCUGCAACAUCUUCUCUACUCAGGACCAUGCAGCAGCUGCCAUUGCUAAGGCUGGCAUUCCAGUGUUUGCCUGGAAGGGCGAGACAGAUGAGGAGUACCUGUGGUGCAUUGAGCAGACGCUGCACUUCAAGGAUGGACCCCUCAACAUGAUUCUGGAUGAUGGUGGUGACCUUACUAACCUCAUCCACACCAAAUACCCACAGCUUCUGUCAGGCAUCCGAGGUAUCUCUGAGGAGACCACAACUGGGGUCCACAACCUCUACAAGAUGAUGGCAAAUGGGAUACUGAAGGUGCCUGCCAUCAAUGUCAAUGAUUCUGUCACCAAGAGCAAAUUUGACAACCUCUAUGGCUGCCGGGAGUCCCUCAUAGAUGGCAUCAAACGGGCCACAGAUGUGAUGAUUGCGGGCAAGGUGGCAGUGGUAGCAGGCUAUGGUGAUGUGGGCAAGGGCUGUGCCCAGGCCCUGCGGGGUUUUGGGGCCCAAGUCAUCAUCACCGAGAUUGACCCCAUCAAUGCACUGCAAGCUUCCAUGGAGGGCUAUGAGGUAACCACCAUGGACGAGGCCUGUAAGGAGGGCAACAUCUUUGUCACAACCACAGGCUGUGUUGAUAUCAUCCUUGGCCGGCACUUUGAACAGAUGAAGGACGAUGCCAUUGUUUGUAACAUUGGACACUUCGAUGUGGAGAUAGAUGUGAAGUGGCUCAAUGAGAACGCCGUGGAGAAGGUGAACAUCAAGCCCCAGGUGGACCGCUACUGGCUAAAGAAUGGGCGCCGCAUCAUCUUGCUGGCUGAAGGCCGUCUGGUCAACCUGGGUUGUGCCAUGGGCCACCCCAGCUUCGUGAUGAGCAACUCCUUCACAAACCAGGUGAUGGCACAGAUUGAGCUGUGGACCCACCCAGAUAAAUACCCCGUUGGAGUUCACUUCCUGCCUAAGAAGCUGGAUGAGGCAGUGGCUGAAGCCCACCUCGGCAAGCUG
RNA transcript from Grammomys surdaster, 1265 nucleotides. It is a transcript of the gene named adenosylhomocysteinase pseudogene, with no coding region annotated. NCBI's taxonomy places the organism in Eukaryota, Metazoa, Chordata, Mammalia, Rodentia, Muridae. The record is from RefSeq and is a predicted model, not a curated record. The transcript has a single exon.